Molecule: small RNA, 142 nt
Filed under: Xenorhabdus nematophila
Lineage: Bacteria; Pseudomonadati; Pseudomonadota; Gammaproteobacteria; Enterobacterales; Morganellaceae
Source: RNAcentral
AAACAAAAAAAGGCCGAGUCUACUCCUCUACUCGGCUUAGGGAAAAUGACUCUCUCAAAGAGCCGUGCGCUAAAAAUUGUCAUUGAGACGUAGAACAGCUUAACAAUCAAAGCAUAGUUGACGUACCAUGAUUUACCAAAUU